Molecule: ribosomal RNA, 465 nt
Filed under: uncultured bacterium
Lineage: Bacteria
Description: partial 16S ribosomal RNA
Rfam family: Bacterial small subunit ribosomal RNA
Source: RNAcentral
GACGAACGCUGGCGGCGUGCUUAACACAUGCAAGUCGAACGGAAAGGCCCCUUUGGGGGUACUCGAGUGGCGAACGGGUGAGUAACACGUGAGUAACCUGCCCUUGACUUCGGGAUAACUUCAGGAAACUGGGGCUAAUACCGGAUAGGAAUCCUUGCUGCAUGGUGGGGGUUGGAAAGCUUCGGCGGUUUUGGAUGGACUCGCGGCUUAUCAGCUUGUUGGUGGGGUAGUGGCUUACCAAGGCUUUGACGGGUAGCCGGCCUUGGAGGGCGACCGGCCACAUUGGGACUGAGAUACGGCCCAGACUCCUACGGGAGGCAGCAGUGGGGAAUAUUGCACAAUGGGCGGAAGCCUGAUGCAGCAACGCCGCGUGCGGGAUGACGGCCUUCGGGUUGUAAUCCGCUUUCAGCAGGGGCGAAGCUUGUGGUGACGGUACCUGCAGAAGAAGCACCGGCUAACUACGUG